This 501-nucleotide ribosomal RNA is filed under the name uncultured bacterium. RNAcentral describes it as "partial 16S ribosomal RNA". It matches the Rfam family "Bacterial small subunit ribosomal RNA", at positions 28 to 522 of the family's 1533-position model. The record is from RNAcentral.
GAUGAACGCUAGCGGCAGGCCUAACACAUGAAAGUCGAGGGGCAGCACAGAAACAGCAAUGUUUUGGUGGCGACCGGCGGACGGGUGCGUAACGCGUCUGCAACCUACCUUUAACAGGGGGAUAACGGAGAGAAAUUUCCACUAAUACCCCAUAACAUCGAUCAAGGCAUCUUGAUUGGUUGAAAACUCCGGUGGUUAAAGAUGGGCAUGCGUUGUAUUAGGUAGUUGGUGAGGUAAUGGCUCACCAAGCCUACGAUACAUAGGGGGACUGAGAGGUUAGCCCCCCACACUGGUACUGAGACACGGACCAGACUCCUACGGGAGGCAGCAGUGAGGAAUAUUGGUCAAUGGGGGCAACCCUGAACCAGCCAUGCCGCGUGCAGGAAGACGGCUCUAUGAGUUGUAAACUGCUUUUAAACAGGGAUAAAGCACAGUAUGUAUACUGUGUUGAAGGUACCGUAAGAAUAAGGAUCGGCUAACUCCGUGCCAGCCGCCGCAUAA